This 199-nucleotide long non-coding RNA is filed under the name Elaeis guineensis (African oil palm). RNAcentral describes it as "long non-coding RNA (EGUI_LNC076402)". Lineage: Eukaryota; Viridiplantae; Streptophyta; Magnoliopsida; Arecales; Arecaceae. The record is from RNAcentral.
GAUUGGAGGCAGCCUUGUGAGGUUCCAAUCAGGUAUUGGCUAGUAAAGCAGCCAAUGCAAGUAUGUCUAACCGAUGGCUUGCAAGAGAAUCUAAGAAUUAGAAAUUGAGAAAAAAAAAUCCUAUAUUGAAAUUUUGAGGGCGAUCAAUUGGAAGGAGGAGAGGAGAGAGGAAAGAAAGAGAAAUUUAUGGAAACAUAAG